Molecule: long non-coding RNA, 462 nt
Organism: Lontra canadensis (Northern American river otter)
Lineage: Eukaryota; Metazoa; Chordata; Mammalia; Carnivora; Mustelidae
Exons: 4
Source: RefSeq, a predicted model, not a curated record
UUUCCUACGGAAGCUGCCCAUCAGACCAAUGAAACCACAAGACAAAAAGUUCUCUUCAAGAAGGGAACAACAAGAAGGAAAAAAAGGUCAACAAUCCUAGGCAACCAUUCUUUGCUUUCAAUAGGACAGAAGAGCUCCUUGGCACUGGAACCCUCGUGGUCUGGUGAGGGAGGGAUGAGGGAUGUUCUGAGGACACACAGCCAUCAUCCAAAACUUCCUCCGUUCAGAUGGAGGAAAGAGGUUGCACCAGAGCCUUGGAUCUGCUUUGCCUGAGGGAUGGUUCGGACUGCGUGAGUGAGUCACAGAAGGGUCUCAUGGGAACAAAAAGUUUGAGAGAGUUUACUGUUUGUGCAAGAUGACUGGUUGGGUAAAGAAGUCCAAAGUUUAUUAUCUGCAGAACAAAUAAAACCCGGGCAAAGAUAUAAAAGCAGUGUGUUCCUGAGGUCCAAAUUACAGGAGGAA